This 455-nucleotide ribosomal RNA is filed under the name uncultured bacterium. RNAcentral's name for it is "bacterial SSU rRNA". It matches the Rfam family "Bacterial small subunit ribosomal RNA", at positions 340 to 786 of the family's 1533-position model. The record is from RNAcentral.
UACGGGGCAGCAGUGGGGAAUAUUGCACAAUGGGCGAAAGCCUGAUGCAGCUAUGCCGCGUGUAUGAAGAAGGCCUUAGGGUUGUAAAGUACUUUCAUCGGGGAGGAAAAAACAAAACUAAUAAUUUUAUUUCUUGACGUUACCCGAAAAAGAAGCACCGGCUAACUCCGUGCCAGCAGCCGCGGUAAUACGGAGGGUGCUAGCGUUAAUCAGAAUUACUGGGCGUAAAGAGCACGUAGGUGGUUUUUUAAAGUCAGAUGUGAAAUCCCUGGGCUUAACCUAGGAACUGCAUUUUGAAACUGAAAUACUAGAGUAUCGUAGAGGGAGGUAGAAUUCUAGGUGUAGCGGUGAAAUGCGUAGAUAUCUGGAGGAAUACCUGUGGCGAAAGCGGCCUCCUAAACGAAUACUGACACUGAGGGUGCGAAAGCGUGGGGAGCAAACAGGGAUUAGAUACC